Molecule: non-coding RNA, 427 nt
Organism: Cyanistes caeruleus (blue tit)
Lineage: Eukaryota; Metazoa; Chordata; Aves; Passeriformes; Paridae
Source: RefSeq, a predicted model, not a curated record
GUCCCUGGAGCAGUGGGAGCUGCCGCUGGCCCCAGGCACUGUCCUGUGAGGAGCUGCUGAAGGACGCUGAGACUGAGGGGGCUGAGGAGGCGCUGAUGCUGAAGGGACCUUGCAAACCUUGAGCUGUCCUGAAGAGCUUGAGGACAGGCAGACACUGAGAGGAGCCAGCAGGGAGAAGCUGAAGGCCUGGAGCAAGAGCAGUGAGCAGGGAUGUGCUGGGGCCACGCGAGAGCCUGGAUGUCCCAUCUGCUGUCCCUGUCCAGGAGAGCUGCUCUGCAUGGCAGGAAAACACUGAGGGAGAGGCUUUGAAGAUGGAGCGGCUGGGAUCCCUCUGAUUAUAUUAUAUGUAUAUAUAUAUUGUAUGAAAUAUAUAAUAUUUAAUCUGUAUUUCCAUCUGUAGAUUGUUAUAUAUGUAUAUAUAGAGAUA